Molecule: ribosomal RNA, 253 nt
Filed under: uncultured bacterium
Lineage: Bacteria
Description: partial 16S ribosomal RNA
Rfam family: Bacterial small subunit ribosomal RNA
Source: RNAcentral
UACAGAGGUGGCAAGCGUUGUUCGGAAUUACUGGGCGUAAAGGGCGCGUAGGCGGUUCUGUAAGUCCCGCGUGAAAUCCCCCGGCUCAACUGGGGAACUGCGCGGGAAACUGUGGGGCUAGAGUUCAGGAGAGGGAAGCGGAAUUCCGGGUGUAGCGGUGAAAUGCGUAGAUAUCCGGAGGAACACCGGUGGCGAAGGCAGAUCUCUGGGCCGUAACUGACGCUGAGGAGCGAAAGCAUGGGGAGCGAACAGG